Molecule: ribosomal RNA, 922 nt
Filed under: Panagrolaimus subelongatus
Lineage: Eukaryota; Metazoa; Nematoda; Chromadorea; Rhabditida; Panagrolaimidae
Description: SSU rRNA
Rfam family: Eukaryotic small subunit ribosomal RNA
Source: RNAcentral
AAAGAUUAAGCCAUGCAUGUCUAAGUACAUGUGUAAUUUAACACGAAACCGCGUAUGGCUCAUUAUAACAGCUAAAAUUUACUUGAUUUUGACUUUUAUCCUACAUGGAUAACUGUGGUAAUUCUGGAGCUAAUACGUGCAUAAAAGAUAUAACAUUGAUAUGUUAUAUUGCGUAUAUUAGUAUUAAAACCAAGCAUUCUUCGGAAUGUUUUGUGUUGAAACUGAAUAUAUCAUGCUGAUCGUAUGGUCUUGUACCGACGACAUGUCAUUCAAGUGUCCGAUCUAUCAACUUUCUAUAUAAGUAUAUAGUACUUAUAUGGUUUUGACGGAUAACGGGGUAUUAGGGUACGACUCAGGAGAAAAUGCCUGAGAAACGGCGUUUACAUCCAAGGAAGGCAGCAGGCGCGAAAAUUACCCACUCUCAGUACGAGGUGGUAGUGACGAGAAAUGACAAGAUCUAUUCCUUCGGGGAUGGAUCAUUGGAAUGGUUUGAUUUUAAAGUCAUUAAAGAGUAUCAAUGAGAGGGCAAGUCUGGUGCCAGCAGCCGCGGUAAUUCCAGCUCUCAUACUGCAUUGAAUUGUUGUUGCGGUUAAAAAGCUCGUAGUUGGAUCUGUACAUGAUAGGUUAGUUCAUCCUUUGGAUUGUAACUAAUAAUAAAUGUUUUUUAUUAGAUUUUUUAUUUUUUUACGAAAAUAAAUGUCUAAUGGGUUUACUUUGAAUAAAUCAGAGUGCUCAAAACAGGCGUAAGCUUGUAUGGUUUUGCAUGGAAUAAUAGAACGUGACUAUGGUUCAUGUUUUAUUGGUUUUACUUACCAUAGUAAUGAUUAAAAGGAACAAACGGGGGCAUCCGUAUCGCAGGGCGAGAGGUGAAAUUCGUGGACCCUUGCGAGACGAACUACAGCGAAAGCAUUUGCCAAGAAUG